Molecule: long non-coding RNA, 3022 nt
Organism: Humulus lupulus (European hop)
Lineage: Eukaryota; Viridiplantae; Streptophyta; Magnoliopsida; Rosales; Cannabaceae
Exons: 2
Source: RefSeq, a predicted model, not a curated record
CCCUACAGCCUUUUCUCUUUCCCUCUUCUCCCUCUCUCUUCCCUAAGCUCUCUCUUACUCAGUACUGCGUUGCCUCUACCAAGCCCGAACGGUCGUCGUCCCAUCGCCGGAGUUGGACAUGCGCUAGCUCAGUCUAACCGUCGGCCCUCAAAACGUCGACCCCCGCGAGCUCACCACCGUACGCACCUCCCAGGGCUGUCAACCAAUGAUUCGAAGUCGUCCGCCUCUUGCACUUUCCAGCGAGAUUCCGACUGCCUCAAGCCUCCACAAGCCAAACCAUUACAAUAGAUCUUUGGGCUUCAAAACCCAUAUGGAGAUCGGACUCAACUGUCACCGGAUUUCAGUUUUUGUGUUCGCCAAAAAUCCAUGGAUUUCCAAGAGGUUUUGGCUCCAAUCCAAACACGGUCGGACUUAAGAGAAAUCGCUACCACCCUGAUGUUCCCCAAGCCUUAGGCUUCGAAGCCCAGCCACUGUUUUCCCGAACCACCACCAUGGGGUGGUGCUGCCGCCGUCGUCGCCGGAGCUUCGGUGAGGGUCUCGGCCAGCAACCACUUCUGGGUGUUUCAAGGUUUGUCUCGAGCUCCCAACAUCAUCCUCAACCUCUUUGCACUAUCCAGAGCGCUGUGGAUUAAAGACUAUGGGAAAAAUCUUGGUUGAUUGCUCUUGCUGAGCAAUCUUAUAUAUCUACGGACCUGAGAUAAGUAAAUCUCACCAUACAUGUUUUACUUGCUCAUAUGUUGAUUAAAUGGAUGUAUAUAAACUGAGAUAAGUAAAUCUCACCAUACAUGUUUUACUUGCUCAUAUGUUGAUUAAAUGGAUGUAUAUAAACUGCAUGACUUAUGUACUCUUAGAUAUUAUUAAGACGCAAACUCUAUGAACAUGUACGUGUUUCCUGGUUAUGUGGUAUGAGGUGUUUCAAUAAUUGAGAAAGAGUGAUAUGUGAAUGCAAGUGCUUUUUUAGGAAAUUUAUAAUAUAAUUGAUUUUGUACUUGUAGUUGCUUUGUCUAUGUAAUUAAGAAUGACAAACUUUAUGAUUAUGCAAGCAUGGUUUGAUUUUAUAUCUAUGGGUACUUUUUUGAUGAAUGAGUUUUGCGUCUCUCGAUGCUCUGCAGUUGGUAUGACUAGGGAGAACUUUGUAAAUUGUUGUGUUGUAAGUUAAUCUUGACUUUGUUGGCUGCAACAUGAAACAUGCUAGUGUAUUGUUUGUUCUAGUUAUUUACACUAGAUUGAUUAAGGGCUGAAUUAGUAAUGGCUAGGGGUACUAAUAAGUGUACAAAAUGUUUCAAUGAAAUCCAUUGAUUACUAGGCAAUACUUGUACUCAAGCUGAUGACUGGGGUAGGGGAAGCACAGUCGAUUGGCUGUGGACUGAUGGCCAGAGUAGGGGGAAGCACAGCUGAUUGACUAUUCGAGUUGAUGACCGAGGUAGGAGGAAGCACAGUCGAUUGGCUAUGAACUGAUGGUCGAGGUAGAGGGAAGCACGGUUGAUUGACUAUUCGAGCUGAAGACCGGGUUAGGGGGAAGCACAGUUGAUUGGCUAUGAACUGAUGGUCAGGGUAGGGGGAAGCACGGUCGAUUGACUAUGGACUGAUGACCGGGGUAGGGGAAGCAUGGUCGAAUGUCUAUUGAUUCGUAACCAAGGUACUCAGAGGGCGGGGGGAGUCCGGUUGGUGUGUGAAUUUUUUAUGGAAAUGUGAAUCCGGCUAGUUACCAGGAUGAUUUAAUUGUUGUGUUAUUGUGAAAUCCAGUGUGUGUACUAGGACCACGCUGUUGUAAAUCCAAUGAUUUCUAGGUAAUACUAGCACUCGAGCUGGUGACCGGGGUAGGGGAAGCAUGGUCGGCCAAUGAAAUGAUUUAAACAAGUAGAAAAUAACUCGUGAUUUUAGUAGUUGUGAUCUAAGAGGUGCCCGAAUACCUCUUUAUAAUUUUAUAAAUCUUCAGUGAUUUUUGUAGCCAUUGUAUAAUGGUGUUAUGCAUUUAUAUCUUAUAUCUACUUGUUCUAGAAUUUUCUGCGUGCAGGUUGAUAAUAUUAUUAGUUAUUAUCUCUGUGAGUUGAACGGCUGCUGUAAUAUUAGACUUGGUGCAAGUCAUGAACGAUUUGAAUUCAAUACUCAAAUUUUUGUUCAAUAGAGGUGAUCAGUCAAAUGAUGUGAUUAGUAAACCCAAUUUAGGAAAUUGUGUCAAGGACUUGUAAGAGUUUGAUCAUACUCCAUGACCAGUCUUAACAUGCUAAAGAGUACACAUAGUUUAUCGUUGUCCAGUUAGCCUUGUGACCUAAUUUAGGUGUCUCUUUCUUUAGCCUCAGGAUUUGUGUACACUGCUAACAUUUUGUAUGUUGGUUAGAGUGUUGAUUCCCGAGCCUUUAUACAGAAUAUGUUAUAGAAUAGCUAAAGGCUCUUUAAGGGAGAUUAUAGUCAUGUGAUAGUCACGAAAUUAAUAGUAGUGGGGUAGGAAGGUAAAAGUUCCCAGUUAGGGUUUAUGUAAAUAGGUGCUCCUGAGAUUAUCAUAGACCUUAGCAUUGGCACGAAAUAACGUUUUGACCAUUGCGGUCUUGAGGGUGUGGUAUCACCGUAAUUACUAAACUUGUUGCCACCCCUUAGUGAAAGGUUAUAGCGGAACCCUAGUUGAGGGAUUUUAUUUUGCAUAGUACUAUGAUAUUGGAUUAACAUAAUCCUAUGCUAUUUUCUUUUAGUAGUUAAUACUUGUGGCCACUACUUUGUCAAAUUUAUAAUUGAUUAUUGGAGCAUGAAUUUAUAGUGUAUGAAUUAAUGAUGACCGAAUGUGGACACAUAUGAGUGUCCUAUGCAUGUUACACUCAUGGCUAUGUUAUCCUGCCAUGCAUCAUCAAGUUACAAUAUAAGUAUAUAGGCAUACAUUCAAUGCAUGGGAUUUACUUACUGGGUGUGAGCUCAUUAAUUUGUUGUUUCCUCCUUUUCAGGUGUGGCUUGAUACUUGGAUCUCUUGUGGACUUUGGACUUAGUAACAAUGACUUUUAUGGAUGGUAUUUUUAGAAGUCUUGUAUUA